Molecule: ribosomal RNA, 305 nt
Filed under: uncultured bacterium
Lineage: Bacteria
Description: bacterial SSU rRNA
Rfam family: Bacterial small subunit ribosomal RNA
Source: RNAcentral
CCCUACGGGGGGCAGCAGUGAGGAAUAUUGGUCAAUGGGAGAGAUCCUGAACCAGCCAAGCCGCGUGAGGGAAGACGGCCCUAUGGGUUGUAAACCUCUUUUGUCGGAGAACAAAACCCGGGACGUGUCCCGGACUGCGUGUAUCCGAAGAAAAAGCAUCGGCUAACUCCGUGCCAGCAGCCGCGGUAAUACGGAGGAUGCGGGCGUUAUCCGGAUUUAUUGGGUUUAAAGGGUGCGUAGGCGGUCCGUUAGGUCAGCGGUAAAAUUGCGGGGCUCAACCCCGUCGAGCCGUUGAAACUGGCAGA